AUUCUCUACCAUGGUUGUUGCUCCUCCUUGGUCUUUUCAUAGGGUCAGGAACACUGGGAGAAGAUACAGUGGGGAAGAUAUCCUUGGGGAGUUGGCCACUUGGCCCCUGGAGGUCCCAGCAGAGCAAGAGGUAGAAAGUGUUACAUGGAGCUCUUGAGAGCGUGUUGCUGUUUUACAACAAGGAUGAACAGACAAACCAGUUCUGGUUUCUGAGACUCAGGGACCCUACAGUGGAUGACUGAACAUUCCCCACCACAGCUACUCUCUUCAGAUCAGCCCCCUGAGGCUGCAGGACUAUAAGCCUAUAAGCCUGGGUAACUCUGCAUACUUCCUCAAUCAUUAUCACCAGGGAUUUCACCCUGCUUGUCUAUGAGAUGCUGUAGGAGUUGAACAUCUUUGCCAGCUCCCAGAUCAUGAAGGAUGGGACCUGCUUCAUCACCCUGGCCUGCUCCCUGGAACAGGCUGGAGAGAAUGUGCAGAACAGCUGGGAGCCUCCUAGUCAUGGGGCAGUUGUGUCCCAUGGGGGGACCACUCUCAGUGUCCCCUGGAUAUCUGGGGAAAGUGAGAGCUAUCACUGCACUGCCAGGAAUCCCACCAGCCAGAGCUCCAGCUCUGUCCUUACCAGACCCCUUUGCUCAGAUACAAUGAAGAAGAGGUCCAGAUAAAUUUCUACCCCUCAUGUAAAUCACUGUUACAAUCAUCACAACCUGCACCUGACUAGCUUUUUGGCCAUUUCAUCUUCCAGUCAGCCCUGGGAAAUGACUUUGGGAGAGUUCUGUAUUUUGUUGUACAAAGACAACAUUGAAUGUGUUCUAUUAUGGGCUUUUUGUGUCUGUGCUCUCCACUGAACUGUGAGAAAAACACAUUCUUACUGUUCUCUGCAUCUCUAAUACACAACGAGUAAUAGGUGUCAAAAAAUGUGGGUCUGACAAGUAUUUAAAAAGCAUCUGCGCUGGGUGUUGUGGGACACAUGCAGACAUGAUAAUUGGCUGUAGACGUUCACAGUCUCCCUCUCUCUACGGGGCCUGAUGGACAUUUCAGUUCCGCCCCCACAUUCGGCUACCUGAAGGGGCCUCCAGCCCAGCCAUGCCUCUGACUUGUCUUCCUUCAAAAUCAUUUUCCCUGUUUCUCUGUCUUCCUGUCUUCCUUUUCUCCCAAUUACUAACUUGUGGUCAUUGUUCAUUCAGCCUCCUUUGUACCCCACUCCCUGAGGAAAGAAUUUCUUCCUUUUUUGAUUCUGGGAGUUUUGGGGAUUGAAUAGAUUUCACCUGGACAUGGGGAGAAACCAAGAAGAGAAGUACGAGAUGGCGGCCAUCCUGUGAGACACAGAGUUAAAGAAGUUCGCAUGUGGAGUGCUGCCUGAGGCCAGCAUUUCCUGGUGUGAGAGAAGGACAUUGACACUGAUUAAGGCAUAAACCCUAUUUCAUUUACAAACUGAGUUCAAAAUUAUCAGGAAACUGCUAUGUGUCUUCUGUUUAAAAUAAUCUGUUUAUGUUUUAUUGAAGUGUGUUUUUAAGUGUUCAGAAAGAAAAAGGAGCUUAUUUAUUUAAGAAAAAUUGAAUGGAACAUAAAAACAUUGUUAUUGUCACACAUAUAUAUUAUUAAGUUUUUGUUAAUGUUUAAAUAACUAGAUUCAGCCCAGCUUCAGCUUGAAUGUCAUCUCCUUGGAGCAGCCUUUGGCCACUAUACUUAAGUAGAUCUUUCCUCUCAUUCAUAAUCAAUGUAUGUUUAAAAAAAUAAUCUGGAGUCUGUUAGGCUGAGACGGCCCUAGCAAUCUGGGAUUCUACACAAGCAAACAGAAAACCAACUCAGAAUGACUUAACCAGUCGGAAACCACCAGGUAAUCUCUAAAUGGGGAAUUCCAUUUAAGCCAUCAAAUAUUUUCUUUUCUUCUUUUUAUUUUGCAUAGAGACAGGAUCUAACUCUGUUGCUCAGGCUGGUCUCAAACUCCUGGCCUCAAGUGAUCUUCUCACCUUGGCCUCCCAAAGUGCGGAGAUUACAGGCAUAGACCACCAUGCCUGGCACACUUAUUUGUUGGUUUACUUAUUUAUUGUUUAUUUCCCUCACAAGAUAUUCAGCUCUAUGAGGAUAAGAACUAUUUCUAUAUAUAUUUUUUCAAAACUAAAAACCCAAAGGGUAAUAGUGUUUGGCUUAUGAUAGAUACUUCAACAUUUACUGAAUGAAUGAAAGAAUGAAUUGGAGUUGAGAAUAUUUUUUCUUAAGAUUUGAAGACUAUUAGGAGGUUUUACAAGGAUCUGGGGCCUACACCAUUGUCUGUUUUCUCUUUCUGCUUUUGAUGGAGAGAAGCAGCAAAUUAAAUCUUUAUCCUAAAAGUUUCCUAGAAUGCUCAACAGUUAGCAAAAGAAAAAGUUAAAAUAAAAGAAACAUUUAUGUUUUGUUUUGACAGAAAGCUGCUCUGCAGUGCUAGAUACGUUAAUCUAGAAUUUGAACCAUAUACAAAUAACUGAACCAAAAGCAAAAUUUAGGUGGGAAACUUUGAGCUUCUCUUUCUUUUUCUUACUCUCAGUUGAUCAGCUCAUUUCCUAGUUCAUUCACAGAGAGGAUUGGCAAAUAUCACCCAUUACACACAAAGCUUCCAAUCAAGUAGUUAAUGACUUAUUUGGAAAUAUAAGAGGGCAGACAGGAUCACAAGAUAUUUGGGGAAGGCCUCUAACAUGAAAGACAAUCUCCAAACCAAAUGAAUCAGGGGGAAAAAAGAAACUUGGAAGAAAAGAGAUAAUACAGGGAGCAGGAGAAAAUUAAAUAAAAUCCCUCAAACAAUAUUCUUAGAGACAUAUAAAAAGAUUUUCACUUAAAAACAGAAACAGGGUGCCAGCCUAAGAAAAACUGAAAAGUCCAAGAGUAAGAAAGAGCCCUAGUAACAAUAAAUACAUAAAUAAAAAGCAGAAAACUUCUAAAAUUCAAUGGAAGUGUUGGAAAAUCAAAUGAAGAAACUCUCUCAGAAAGUAGAACUAAAGACAAACAGAUGAAAAUAAAAGAGAAAAGAUAAGGCCAUUAAAGAAUCAGCCCAGGAACUCCAACCCCUGGAUAACACAGUUCCAGAAAGGGACAUGUCUUAGUCUAUUUUGUGCUGCCAUGGCAGAAUCCCACAGAUCGGAUAAUUUAUAAACAGUAGAAUUUUAUUUGUCUCAUGAUUCUGGAGACUGGGAAGUCCAAGAUCAAGGGGCUGCAUCUGGUGAGGACCUUUUUGCUGCAUCAUAACAUGGUGGAAGGCAUAACAUGAUCAGAAAGUGAGUGUGUGUGUGUGUGUGUGUGUGUGUGUUUGUGUGUGUGAGAGAGAGAGAGGGGAGGGGGCUGGACCCAUCCUUCGAUUAGGAACUCACUCCCCCAAUAACUAACCCACUCCCAAGAUAAUGGCAUUAACCAAUUCAUGAGGGCUCUUAAAAUUCCCACCUCUCAACUCUGUUGUACUGGGGAUUAAUAGAGGCAGCAGGACCAGAGCACCCAGUGAAAGACAUUAUCAACUAUAGGAAAAACAAAGAAUGGUUAGGAAGGAAAUUGAAUACUCUACAUGGCUCGAAUGUGAAUACUUAUUGUCAUAAAUGUUAAAUACAGUUUAGCAAAAAGCUAUGUUACAACAUACUCUGGCGGGAUGGGCAGAAAGGCCUUUGUGUUGCUGAGUGGCUAAAGAGUGUGGAGGACAGUGGAUGAGAGAGCCAAAUACCUAUCUCCAUAGCAGGAAGUCAAUAACUAAUGUCUAAAAUCAAGAAAGGACAGAACAAAUAUAUCAUUUCUAAAUAUCAAGGAAGUAUCAUGAGAAAAAACAAAUAAUUGACAGUGGUUGCCAGCACAACAGUUGCCAGAACAGCAGUUCUGGGUGUAGUGUGGCAGAAGACUGCUGCUUUUUUUUUUUUCAAAAUUUAUUAUGUCUUAUGCUAUUAGUUGAAUUUUAUAACUAUAUAUAUGUAGUAUUUUGAAAAAAAUUAAAAUAUUAGAAAGCACAUGCACCAAGAGAUGAAGAACAAUAACCAAAAAGAGAACUCAAAGGUCUAGGAACUUGACUGGGUGGAAAUGGGAGGAUUUUAAUGGGCCACGGGGUUCUACAGGAAGAGUGAAUGGUUUAAACAAAGAGGCAGAGACUAAUCAGUCAAAUUUUAGUUGAAACAAAAUUAGAGUUGAAUAUCUUUUCUCCAAAUCUAGGUCCAAUUAUACAUUCAACAAAAUUCAACAUUACUGACUAGUUAAUAUUUAUGCUUAUUUACAGAUAUAACAAAAUUUCAUAGCUAGGGAAGCAGUUCUGGGGCUGUCAGUGAUCUUGCUUGUUAUUCCAGACAACUGUCAUUCAGGGACUCCAGGUAGCAUGAUCCUGAGAGCAAAUGCACCAUUGUUAAAGGCAUAGACGUAUAAAUACAAACCUCUGCCACAGAGCACUAUUCACUCUUUGCGUCUGAAGAGAACCAGAACCCCUUAACUCUUGGGCGGCAGCCUGCCGUCUGAAUGUGAAGGAGAAGGAAGAAUUAGUACAAUGCCUGUUUUUGAGCUCUUCAAGUCACCAGCAUUUUGUAGGAGUGGAAUGCUUCAUCUCCUGGCCCCUAACUUCGGGGUAGCAAAAUGAGAAGCUAAUGCCUGCUGGAAAGGGUCCCAAGAUAGAGAAGCUAAUGCCUGCUGGAAAAGGUCCCAAGAUACUGAAAGCUCUGAGAUUGCACUAGAAGAGAAGAGCUCAAAUCCUGCCACUUACCCACAAAAAGCCAGGGAAGUGAGUGUCUACUGGAAAUUGUUUUAGGUGUGAAGUAUGAACUGUAUGUAUCUGAAGGCUUCCUGCCUUGGUGCUGCCAGAUGCCCUUGCUGUGUGACAGGAGGAGGUGAGAACAGGUUGAAAGAGGAGGAAACGACUAAUGACCCUUAGGAGCAGAUCGAUUACCACCCUAUGAAAGAGUAAGUUGACAGUUCAGACUAUGCAAAAACAAAUUGUUGGAAAAGCCCCCUUCAUUUUUCUUAGCCGAAAAGUAAACAGAUUGCUACAAUCUGGCAUCUCUGUAGUUUUACCCACUCUCUCCACACCCCAAAGUACAGCCAUUAAAGCCCCACGGUCACUACACAUGUCUCUGUGUUAUGACCUUGCUUUUCUUUCUCCUCGAGGGGACUCAUUGACCUUUCUCCAUCUGGCUCAAUCUGUGUCAAGUUGCUUCUUGACCCAUUUGUUUUUCCAUCGGUUGUGAGCUCUUUGAAGUUAGGGGUCAUGCUUUAUCCAUCCCUGCUUCUUGGCCAUAGCACAUAGUUGGUGCUCACUAAAUACUUGCUGAAACACUUGUCAACUAAAGAAAAGCCAAGUUUUUAAAGAAUUAAAGUGAGUUUUAUUUAGUCUUACUGAGGUUGGCAACCCAGGAGAGUCUUUCGGAGAGUUUCUGUUAGACUGCUCCAAAGCAGUGUUUCAGCCUACAGCUUAUACAUAAGGUGACAGUCAUUCUGCCUGUGCUCAAAAGUUAUGUAAGAGCAAAAUUUCACCAAAGUUUGGGUGCAAGGGUACAUCUAGUUAUAGAUUACAGAGGCAUAAUGAUUAAUCCUGUCAACCAUUAUCUUAUGUACAGCAAAAAGACAAAGGCCAGGAUCAUUGAAUUUAUCUUUUCUAAAAAUGCAGUGAUUUAGGUAAGAGAUGUGGUAACCUGGGCUCCAUCCUUCUUAUCAUCUUCAGGGCAUCCUUCCGAAGGGCUGUCCUCAGUCACUGAGUCAGGGGCUUUGUGAAAUUCUGCUGGCAGCUGAAUGAGCAAACAUGGCCUCUUAUGUUUGCUACUUUGUCUUACAGAGUAAGUGAAUGUAAAACAAAAACAAAAACAGAAUGAAUGAAUGAAAGUCUCUGUGAGAGAAGCAACCUAUCCAUUGCUGUUUGCCUUUCCCACAGUUCUGGGUUUGGCUAGGGAGAGUUCACAUCCCUGCUGAUGUUUAUUUUAAAUUUCGAAGCAAUAAGGAAAUUGAAAAAUGGACACAAAAUUCAGGGGUAUCUAUUUCCUUUCUAUUCAUACAGCCUUAUAUUUUGCCUUCUAAGCUAUUCUUUUCCUUGUAUUCUUUUUAGACUCUCAUUCAGAUUAUGUUACCUCAAUAUUCUUCCCUUAGAAGACUUUAAGAAGCAGAUUCCAUUCAACAGUUUUACUCUACAGAAAUACUGUGUGUAAGGCCGGGUGCGGUGGCUCAUGCCUGUAAUCCCAGCACUUUGGGAGGCUGAGGCAGGUGGAUCCCCUGAGGUCAGAAGUUUGAGACCAGCUGGCCAACAUGGUGAAAUCCCAUUUCUACUAAAAAUACAAAAUUUAGCUGGGUGUAGUGGUGCACACCUGUAAUCCCAGCUCCUCAGCUACUCAGGAGGCUAAGGGAGGAGAAUUGCUUGAACCUAGGAGAUGAAGGUUGCAGUGAGCCAAGAUUGCACCACUGCACUCCUGCCUGGGCAACAGAGUGAGACUCCAUCUCAAAAAAAAAAAAAAAAGAAGAAGAAGAAGAAGAGGAAAUACUGUGUGUUUUCCUCAGUGUUCAUGAAGCUUAAUGUGCAGGUAUUUUCAUAAGGUUCUAUAUUUUAUUGAAAAACAGACAACAAAACAAGAAACAGACUAGUAAAAUUGCUGAAUAUGUGCAUGGUUUGCCAGCUGGGCCAAGAGGAGGCAGCAGUGAGCUAACCCAGGGCUUGCUGUGUGGCUUGGAGGAUCCUGUCACCAUCAGCCUGCAUUGUGACCUUGCUUUCAUUUUCUCUCUCUGAGAUGAGGGAGUUAGACUACAUGAUCCUUAGAGUCUCUUCCAGCUCCAAAAUUCUCUGUGUAAGUUUUAAAUAGAUGUUUGGGACUGAUUUAGGUCUGGGAAGAGAAAAGUGAAGGAAACAGACAAAAAUUCCCUCCGUUUAUGAAGCUUACAUUCCCAUGGGGCCUUCCAGACCCUACGGUUGUCAUAGUGGCGAGGAGGCUGCCUGGAUUGGAGGGUAUGAGGCUGGGUAGGAAGUCAGACCAGGGCUUGACCAGUAGGCAUCAGACAGAUCCAGGGACCAGGCAAAGCAGGAAAUGAAUGAAAUUCACUGGGUCCAAGUGAGAUGGGAGCAGGGAACAGGCUCUCCACAGAGCCAAGCAAUCAGAGGGAUUGUGCUAGGUCCCUAACUGACCAGGAGGAGACAGGCAGAGUUGUACCCACAGGACAGUUGGGCCUGCAGAACCUCCAGAACCAGAAAGUCCGUUUAGCAGCCUGACUCAGCAAGGCUUGCUUCUGCUCCUGGGGAGAUGCACAGGUCCCAGCAUGCAAGUGACUGGGAGGGAACAUGGAGAACACAGCAAAGAGGAGGAGCUAGAAAGAGCACCGGAGGAGUGAGGGGAGGAACAGCUCAGAGCCUUAUAGCUGACAAGCCUUCUGUAAGGGUGGCGUGAAUGAGUGAAUGACACAGAGGGGAGUGUUUGCUACUUUGCUUGAUCUGUGAGCACUGGUCAGCUGCCUCUUAUUAUAUGCCUCAACUUUAUAAUGAUAUGAUUAACUGCUAUUCUCAGGUCUUCAGUUACUCUUUAUACUUAAAGUUCUAGAGGCUCAGUUCUGAAUGGAAUCUAUAUAAUUAGCCAGUAGUCUCUUUAUGAUGAGGUAACUUCUGUCGAAGGACUGUGAUGUUAUACUCUGCUGAACACUUUACGUGUAUGAUUAUCUUUACCUUUAAUCUCACUACAAUCCUAUGAGGUAGAAAGUAUCUUUCACAUUUUAUAGAAGAGAAAACUGAGGUUCCAAGAAACUAAGCAUUUUGCUCAUGGUCAUAGGACUAAGAGAAGAUACAUGACGUCCAGAGUUGCUUUUCUCUUUCUCUCUCUCUUUCUCUAUCUCUUUCUCUCUCUCUCUCUCUCUCUCUCUCUCUCUCUCCCCCCUCCCCUCUCUGUAUCUCUUCCUCUCUCCUCUCCAAGUUUUCAGUGUGGUGAAAGUAAUGCAGAUUAGUGACUAACCACUGUGGGUAGCAUGGGUUUUUUCUUCUUUUUCCCCUUUUUAAUUACACAUCCUUUCCUUUCGUUUUCCUGGUGCUCUAAGCCAGCUCACCCCUGGUUUUUUAUUCUGCCUUGUUUGGGAUGGAGGUGGUAUGCAUGGAAGAGCAAAAGCAAAAACUUUAGGUAGCCUCAGCCCUAAAGUAGAGCCAGGAUCCACACCAAUGUCUCCUCUUAACUGCCUCAACCACUUGCCUUGCUGUCUGCCCAUCUUUGAAGUGGAGAUCUUAGUGGUUAGCCUCUGGGCCUCACCUUCAUCUCUCCCUGUCCUCAUCUUGUUUGCUUUCUUCCCAGACUAACUCAGCUCCAGGAUUGUCCCUUCUGGAAGCUAUCCCAUGCGGCUGUCCCUGCCUUAUACAGGAUCUACCUUGGCAGAGGGAAAACAACUCUUGGUCCUUGUCAUGGUAAAUUUUAUGUGUCAACUUGACUGGGCUAAGGGAUGCUCAGAUACCAGAUAAAAUAUUGUUGCUGGGUGUUUUCAGAGGUCAUCAGCAUUGGAAUCAGUAGAUGAAGUAAAGAAGAUUGCCCUCACCAAUGAGGGCAGGCAUCACACAUCUAUCGAGGACCUGAAUAGAACAAAAACGCAGAGAGGAGGGAUAAGGAAGGACUUGUUAAAGAUUACAAAAUUAUAGCUAGAUAGGAGGAAUAAGAGGAAUAAGUUAUAGUGUUCUAUACCACUCUAGGAUGACUACAGUUAACAAUAAUGUACAGUUUUAGAUAACUAGAAGGAGGACAUUGAAUGUUCCCAACACAAAGAAAUGAUAAAUGUUUGAGAUGACAAGUAUGUUAAUUACCCUUAUGUUAUCACUACAAAUUAUAUGGCUCUAAACAUCACUAUGUACUCCAAGAAUAUGUACAAUUAUCAUUUGUCAAUUAAAAAUAUAUACAUACCAUGGAAUACUAUGCAGCUAUAAAAAAGAAUGGGAUCAUGUUUUCUGCGGGAACAUGGAUGGUGCUGGAGGCCAUUAUCCUUAGCAAACUAACACAGGAACAGAAAACCAAAUACUGCAUGUUCUCACUUAUAAGUGGAAGCUAAGUGAUAACUCAUGGACACAAAGAAGGGAACAACAGACACUGGGGCCUACUUGAGGGUGGAGGGUGGGAAGAGGGAGAGGAGCAGAAAAAAUAAUGAUUGAAUAGUAGGCUUAGUAUCCGGGAGAUGAAAUAAUCUACCUGACAAAUCCCCAUGACACGAGUUUACCUACAUAACACAUCUGCGUAUAUACCCCUGAACCUAAAAUAAAAAUUAAAAAAUAAAAUAAAAACAGAAAGGUGAAGGAUGGAAGGAAAUUAGUUUCUUUGCUUGAGUUGAGACAUCCAUCUUCUCCUCCCCUCAG
Molecule: long non-coding RNA, 9283 nt
Filed under: Homo sapiens (human)
Lineage: Eukaryota; Metazoa; Chordata; Mammalia; Primates; Hominidae
Description: non-protein coding lnc-CD244-2:4
Source: RNAcentral